GAUGCUAUAUAUUGCAUAUCUUGCAAAAAAAUUGGUUCGAUGAGAUGAAUCAAUGAUGAUGAUGAAUGGAUGAUGAUGAUGAAUAUGUGACGAAUAGAUGAUGAUGAUGAUAGUUUUUUGCCUACAUGAUGCAAAAAUAAAUGAAUGCAUGUUUAAAUGUUUUAAAUAUGCUCUAUGAGUUGUGAUGUUCUAAUUUUUUGUCGUGAUGGAAUUUGCAGGCUUUGUGGUGUUGCAUUUCAUCGGAGUGACCGCCGUCCGACGCAUUGGUCCCUGAGCAUCCCUCUGUUGUUCUACUCCUUCCCCUAAAACCGAGGAGGAUGGCAGAUAAUCAGUGGAUGUACAGUGGUUUUAUCCGUCGGACUCGAGUUACAUCAGAGUGGAUCGCGAAAACUGAUGUGUAUUUGAAGGAGAUAUUUCAUCAGCCAUUGUUAUUCGAGCUCUGGGGUGAAAGCCUAGGUCUAACUUGAGAUGGUUAUAUCUGACAAUGGCGAUAUUUUUAUGUCGUUCCUUUGUUGAAGGCAAUGCUCGGAUAUGCUCAGACUGCUUCUUCAGGGUGAAAACCUAUAUUCUGGCCUUAUGUGGUUGGUCCGGUGACGGCGAUGUUUGAGAGUGGCUCUCUUCGUGAAGGCGUUGUUGAAGAAACCUCAUCGUCCGUGUGGUGUCUUGAAAUUGUUGGUGUAAAUAUGGUCAUUGUUGUAAUUUGUCGAAGGCGGAUUUAGUCGCUCUGUUUUUCUUUUCUUCGCCAACGCAUAGCUUUGGUAGUAUAUGACUUCGCUAUUUGUUGGUGUUUUUGUGUGCGUGCGUUGGUGAUGACUUUCUGCAUCCUAGCUAUGCAGAGACUGUGUGUACUCAUUAUGUGUUGUAUCCUCUUGAUACUUCAUUUGAGUUAACAAAAUU
Aegilops tauschii subsp. strangulata is the source of this 897-nucleotide long non-coding RNA. RefSeq lists it as uncharacterized. The record is from RefSeq and is a predicted model, not a curated record. NCBI's taxonomy places the organism in Eukaryota, Viridiplantae, Streptophyta, Magnoliopsida, Poales, Poaceae.